GCAGGCUUAACAAUAAAAGUCAUGCAUCUUUUUUGCCUUAUUUCAACUUUUGGAUGUCAUUUUUCUUGAAGAGCGUAGGGACCCGGAGACUCCAUGGAGCAAGGAGAUAUUUAUGGAAGCUUCCAAGAAGACAAAUGGAACAGAAUGGGAUGUUUGCUUUCAUGGAUCAGCAAUGAAUCACACCACUUUCUUUCAGUAAUGACACAGAGUUAUAGAGUCUUCAGAAAGAAGCAACAGAAAGAAAAUGCUUUCUGCUGGAGAUCUGUGAAAGGCAUGAAGGCUCCUGAAUGGGGAACUGGGAUUAGGAGAGAGAGGCUGACUGUGGUUGGACUCAAAGGACAAUAAACUUCCACGCUUGUUUACACCUGGGUGCUGUGUCCAAAUGCUGUCUCUGGGCAUUCACUCUGCUCCAGGAUCUUCAGAAAAACAGGCUAAUAGCUGGCUGAAGGGAAGGGAAGAAAAGAGGGAUUGUGUCGGUGUGGAAUGGUCCAUGGCUGAACUCCUCUUAGGGAUGAAGACAAAAGCAGACCCGUGGAGAUGGGGGUAUCAGGCACAGCUCUGAAAAUAAAAUGUUAUUGGCUCAAGUCUGAAGCUGUCAAUUUCCACUGAGAUGGAAUAUAUUCCUCAGAAAAGAGAAGCACCAAAUAUUAUUAUGCAGUCUGCCUUUGGAGAAGGGAAAAAACACCCACUUCUUAUAAAAACACUUUUUUCGGAUGAAGGAUUUGAUUUCAACUGAUGAGUCAUCACUGUGUUUUUUUACCACUUCGCCAAAAAGUGAGGUUGUUUAAAAAGCAUUUCUUGAAGCAAAUUCUUCCAUUGCUAGGGUUUCUCUCAUCUGAGAGAGAAGGCGUCCUAAGUCCGCAGUGCUAGAAGCUGUCCUGGUCUGCAUGAAAGAUACUGUGGGACGAGAUUCGUAGUUAUCAAGUUCUAGAUUCAUUAUUAAAAAUCAACCUCAAGAUAAUAUUCAUGAUCUGGAAGCAAGAAAUUAUCAAGAAACAGAAAAUAAAUUUUAAAACACAAAUUUCAAUGAGUAAAAAAUAUGUUGAAAAAUGACACAAUGAAUGUCAGAAAGCAAAGGAAUUUAAGAGAACUUGGUGGAUAUUGUAGAAGAGGUGACCGUAUGUCUUGGUUUACCAAGGACAGUCCCAGUUCAUUCCUGAAACGCACCCACUUUCACUCUCAAAAAUGUCUUGCUUUGGAUAGUGAGUUAUAUGGUCACCCCCAGUGUGGCGGUUUUAAAAUACGUCUGCAUGUUCUUUGACACUCUUACCAUCGAGUCUAUCCCUUCCUCUUGAAAACAGGUAGAUUUUUAUGACUGCCUGGAUGAACAGGAUGUGGCAGCAGAGACACUACCUGACUUCCAAAUCUAGGUUAGAAAGGGCCAGGAACCUUCUGGUUGGCCUUGGGAUACUUGCUCUUGGAGGUGUCAGCCACUCUAUAAGGAGUCUGGCUACCAAGAGCUGCGAUGUUGGAGAAACCAGAGAGCAAGAGCAAGAGAGUGAGCGAUGCGUGAGGAAGCCCGGCUGUGCUACUGGAGUCUUCCCAGUCCUGGCACCAAACACAUGGGAGACAUACCCUGGGAACCCAGCCACCACAUUGUAGCAAAGCCCGGGCCACAUGGAGAGACCACAUAUGUGUUCCAUCUGAUGGCUCCAGCUGGGGUCUCAGCAGAUAGCCAUGAUGAACUGCCAGACAGGUCAGGCUCGGUGAGCAGCUCUCCAGCUGUUUGUUCUGUAAUGGUUCCAGUGAACGAGAGGCACUGCGGUCCAAGAAAAUGUCCUGGAGCACCAGUGGGUUCUGGGCUGCUGGCUGAGGGCCACUUGGUAUGCUGUGCCACUGAGCUCUCAGCCGGAAUUUCACCUUGGCUACAUAUUCCUCUCUCAAUCCACUAAUUCCCCAGAAAGGAGACCGUGGACGCACCAUGCCCUUGAAGAACAAUAGAGGAACUGUGGGCUGGGUAUUUGGGGAGAUUCCUGCAGAGGAGGCCGUUGUUCAGGGACCUGGCCUCAUGAUCAGGAUGCGGGCUGUGCGAUUUUUCUCUGAGGAGCUCUAGAAGCCUUGAACCAUGGACUUCAUAGAAUCUUGACUUUUUAGCUAAGUCCACGUGAGAGGUUGCAAAUGAAUGGUCCGUAGGCUGAACACUACCUCCAGGAGUGUUUUGUUUAGCUUGCAUGGUGUUUAAACAUUUUUUGAGUAAGUCACCAACAUUUUAAGAUUGGGAGAUUAAAAAUUUUAGAUUUCUAAUGUCUCUUGAAAAAAAGCAAAGGAAAGAUCUGGCAAUGGCAUCACUGACAUCCCAUUCUUGCCACAGUCCGUCAGAAGCUGGAGAUUUACACUGGGCACCCAUUCCCUGGGCUUUCAUCCCACU
RNAcentral lists this long non-coding RNA (2368 nucleotides) under Equus caballus (horse). RNAcentral's name for it is "lncRNA (ENSECAG00000057558.1)". The record is from RNAcentral. Lineage: Eukaryota; Metazoa; Chordata; Mammalia; Perissodactyla; Equidae.